Molecule: ribosomal RNA, 861 nt
Filed under: uncultured Clostridia bacterium
Lineage: Bacteria; Bacillati; Bacillota; Clostridia
Description: bacterial SSU rRNA
Rfam family: Bacterial small subunit ribosomal RNA
Source: RNAcentral
GACGAACGCUGGCGGCGCGCUUAACACAUGCAAGUCGAGCGAUGAAAUCUUGACAGAUCCCUUCGGGGUGAAGAUAAGAUGGAUUAGCGGCGGACGGGUGAGUAACACGUGAGUAACCUGCCUUAGACAUUGGGAUAGCCUCGGGAAACCGGGAUUAAUACCAAAUAAAAUCAUAGGUGCCCAUGCACUAAUGAUCAAAACUCCGGUGGUCUAAGAUGGACUCGCGUCCCAUUAGCUAGUUGGUGAGGUAACGGCCCACCAAGGCGACGAUGGGUAGCCGGCCUGAGAGGGUGAACGGCCACAUUGGAACUGAGAAACGGUCCAAACUCCUACGGGAGGCAGCAGUGGGGAAUAUUGCACAAUGGAGGGAACUCUGAUGCAGCGACGCCGCGUGAACGAUGAAGGCUUUCGAGUCGUAAAGUUCUUUUAUAUGGGAAGAUAAUGACGGUACCAUAAGAAAAAGCCCCGGCUAACUACGUGCCAGCAGCCGCGGUAAUACGUAGGGGGCUAGCGUUGUCCGGAAUCACUGGGCGUAAAGGGUUCGCAGGCGGAAAUGCAAGUCAGAUGUAAAAGGCAGUAGCUUAACUACUGUAAGCAUUUGAAACUGCAUAUCUUGAGAAGAGUAGAGGUAAGUGGAAUUUUUAGUGUAGCGGUGAAAUGCGUAGAUAUUAAAAAGAAUACCGGUGGCGAAGGCGACUUACUGGGCUCAUUCUGACGCUGAGGAACGAAAGCGUGGGUAGCAAACAGGAUUAGAUACCCUGGUAGUCCACGCUGUAAACGAUGAGUGCUAGGUAUCGGAAUAAUUCGGUGCCGCAGUUAACACAUUAAGCACUCCGCCUGGGGAGUACGUGCGCAAGCAUA